UCAAGAUAGUUGAGUCUCCAAUUAGAAACUCUGAGUAGCUGUAAACUUGCAUUAAAAAAGGAUUCCAGUGGAAAAAUAUGUUGAUCCAACCAUGACUUCUACUGGCAAAUGCUACUUUAUCUAAAAUAUACAGAUUUCAGUGCUCAGAAAGUGCAAACAAUUUGUACAUUGAGAAAUCUAUCUUGGCAUUCAGUUUAUAACAUAACAAGGAAUGAGAGCUUUGACAAGCUUUUACACUUGGUCAGAUUUUGCAUGCAUGAUUUGUCAGAUUGUAAUGUCAUGAUUUGUCAAUGACUGAAUGUUUUCAGCAGGCUGAUGUACAAAACCUGAAAAAUAAAUUCAGUUAAAGCAGAAGUGCAGAGUGUAUGUAACAGAAAAUUCAGCUAUAGAAGAAGCGCAGAGUGUAUGUAACAAAAAAUUCAGUUAUACUAAAACCUGAAUGUUUUCAAUAUGCUGCUGUACAGUGUAUAUGCAUAUUUUCAGACUAUCACUGAAAAUAUGCAGUGUAUGCAUAUUUGAAGAGUACUCAAAUGUUCCGAAAAUAAGAUGUGAGACCAAUGCAUAGAUAGUCCAAUGCCGAGACCAAUAAAAUUUAGCUAACACUGGACAGAGAUGUCUCCUUGCAACAAUCUCUACAGAAAAUUCUUGUACUCAUCUUAGCUCUUAGCUAACACUGGACGCUGGAGUAGUUUCAAUUUCUAAAAGAAUGGGGUGCAGUACAAGAACUAAGAAACCUCUGCACACCAUCCAGAAGCAUUUUUAAGUCUGCCGUCAUCAGUUUGUCGUCAUAGGAGUUUAUGUCUGCCGUCAUCAGUCUGCCGUCAUGGGAAAUGUCUUACUUGCUUACAAUGUCUUACUUUCGCUUGGAAGGCUAAGCUGUUGCUUCAUAGCAUCCAGAAGCACUUUUGUUGGGAUCCCGACUUUUCCCAUGACGGCAGACUGAUGACAGAAAGUAAGACAUUGUAAGCAAGUGUUGGAAGCUUUACAACGUAUGAUUGGACAUGUGUCUGUAUAUCUAUCAAUUUUUGGUGACAAAAAACAUCGCUGAUAAAUAUCCGUGAUAGUGGUUGAAUUUGCAUUUUAUUUGUACAAACUUAAACUCCUAUGUUUUAGACAGGGCAUGUAUGCUAGUUAGGUAAGAUAUGUGUUAAAUUGUUCUUUGACGUUAGUUUUAGGAUGCCCAGUGUAGUUCAGUUGAUACAUGCAUAUAUGUGUUGUGUAGGUUUCCGGUUAACCUUUUUAUUCUAAUAACAGGUCAUCCACUUUAAAAGUAAUUUCCUUGGUAGCUUCAGUUCAGUUCUGUACAUACAUGAGUGUUUCUUCCUUCAAUUUACAUGAGAACAAAAUAAUCCAUGCGAAAAAAAACUGAGAACAACAAGGUUUAGCUUGCUGCAAUUGUAGAUUAUAUAUGCAUGUACGUACUAUCUCUAAUGCACCAAGAAAAUAGCAUAUUAACAUGUAUGAGCAUGUACAAAUUGAUUAUUCAUGUGUUGAUUAGGAAGCAUGCACACAAUAAGGACUAAUAACUCGAUCAAGGAAGAAACUUCAUUUCCUUAAUAGCAUUUGGCAGAUUAAGCUAUAGAAUAAAAAAUGAAGUACCAUCAGGCUGAUCUCUAAUUUUCACUGAACUAACACAAACACUUUUUACGCACUAUUACUGUCCAUUUGGAGUACUAUUUGUAAGUGAAUCUUUAUCUACUGCUGUACAGAAGCUAACUUGAAUUAGGUCGGAUGAAUUAGAUACUUCUGCCAUUGCCAUGAACAGAUCAAUAUGGCAUGCGUAGUAUACUGUCACUUCUGCUUCAGAAGUAAAACUUUUCUAUCUUUGAUCAUGUCUCUAAGAAAAGUAUUAAGGGAAACCAGCUAUGAGGAAAAAUAAAUGACCAAAUUCAGAAGUGUGUGCUUCAGGUACCUUUCGGCAACGACAUCACCUGGUCUCUGAAGAACACAUCCAACUCAUCCUGCUAUCCUACUACUGUGCCACCCCAAGCCUGAAAUCCUCGAUGCUCCAUCCAACCUCUGCAUGGCAGUAAGGCAAAACCAAGAUCGAUGUCAUGAUAAAGCUUUCAAAAAAAAAUCAGUGUUCUUAACUAAUGAAUUACAAAAAUAGGUGCAAGCUUAUAUGAACAAUUUAGCAUCAAACCCUUAAGCAUUUGAACUAACAUGUCCAUCCCAUAAAACUAAAAUGUGUUGAACCUUGGCGCUGGCAGAACCUAUUUCAUGACAAAACAAUCAUGAAAUUCUAUCAGGUGAUUGCAGGAGAUUGUACAUAACCACAAGAAGUAAAAGAUGAUAUUCUAUUGUAUCCAACUAACCGAAUAAUCGAGCAGACUAACGGGAUGGAGAGGCAUAUACGGCAUCAGGUACAUUGACGGUCACAGCUAGCGACGCUUGUGUGGGAAGUUGUGGUCGCUGCUACCAGUACAGCAGCUGUGUUGUCGGAGGAACUGGUGGUGCGCUGUACACGUCAUUCUGCGGCUCAAAUCUUCUUGAGAUAGGUCAGAGGCAUCUAGGUAAUAAGAGAAAAAUAGAGAAAAAAUAAGAUGGUGAUUUGGUUAAUUGAAAGGAGCCAUAGUUUGCAGGGAAGGGAGACGCGUUUGCAACUCGGCGCUCACCCUCAGCAUAGCCGUCAGGUAGCAAGAAUUUGUGCACGUGCCUGGAUCCUCUUAUUCCCAUAUCAUCUACUCCCUAUUCCCCAUACCGCCACAUCCACGAGCUAUAGAUAUUUGGGGGAGCAGACCACUACUGCUUCUAUGCUGAAGGUACUACAACUGGUAAAACGACAUCAUGAAUUAAAUUUUAUGAAGAAAAGUAACCUUUAGCAAAAGAAGGUAUUUAGUCUAUGCAGAAAUCAUACUACUGUAAAAUACAUGAUAAAUAUAUGAUAAUGCCUAGUCGAACUGAUGCAUCUGGGAGCUACAAAUGGCAAUAGGACAGUACCAAAAGGACAUACUAUUCAAUUCCAGUCUCUAGAGAACAAAAUCACAUUGCUCCUAUUUUUUCUUAAAAUAAUAAAACAGUACUAAAGAGCCGAUAUUUAGAAUCUGAGCGCUCACCAUUUAAAUGAGAAUCUAAGCAAAAUAUGGGAGUGCAUGGAGGUCACCAUUUAAGUCAAAUAGGUAAAAUCAACCUUCAUAACAAUGAAAUAGAAAUUCUAUUUGGAAAGGGUGUUUCCGGGAGCUUCCCACCACUCUGCUUAAUGAACAGGACGAUAUUGUCCUGAAUCAUCAGCUAAAACAUUGUUAACUGGUCAUUAUUGCUAACUCAAAAGAGAACUGAAGUACAUAUAGUGUAUUCAGCAAACCCAAAUUAUAAGGGUGCAGUACAGAAAAAUUGUAUGCCAAACGGAUUAGAAGUUAUAUGCAAAUAUUAAGAUAAUUACACUUGUCGGGGCCGAAUGGAGAGUCAGCAAGAGGUAGCAGCGCGUUUGUUGACUUUGAUGCACCUAGGCAUGUAUGUCAGCUCCAAGAAUGAAGUACACCACCUGCUAACCUAACGGCGCCACUCUUCCAAGGUUGGUGUUUCCACGCCAAUAGUCAUCAUAUCUCUAAUACUUG
This 3557-nucleotide long non-coding RNA is filed under the name Triticum aestivum (bread wheat). RNAcentral describes it as "long non-coding RNA (TAES_LNC007351)". Lineage: Eukaryota; Viridiplantae; Streptophyta; Magnoliopsida; Poales; Poaceae. The record is from RNAcentral.